UGGGGCGUAGCCAAGCGGUAAGGCACCGGUUUUUGGCACCGGCAUCCGCAGGUUCGAAUCCUGCCGCCCCAACCA
This 75-nucleotide transfer RNA is filed under the name Alphaproteobacteria bacterium. Its description in RNAcentral is "tRNA-Gln". It matches the Rfam family "tRNA". Rfam says of the family: Transfer RNA (tRNA) molecules are approximately 80 nucleotides in length. Lineage: Bacteria; Pseudomonadati; Pseudomonadota; Alphaproteobacteria. The record is from RNAcentral.